AGUGUGUUAAUUCGAAGCAACGCGAAGAACCUUACCAGGUCUUGACAUCCCGAUGCUAUUUCUAGAGAUAGAAAGUUACUUCGGUACAUCGGUGACAGGUGGUGCAUGGUUGUCGUCAGCUCGUGUCGUGAGAUGUUGGGUUAAGUCCCGCAACGAGCGCAACCCUUGUCAUUAGUUGCCAUCAUUUGGUUGGGCACUCUAAUGAGACUGCCGGUGACAAACCGGAGGAAGGUGGGGAUGACGUCAAGUCCUCAUGGCCCUUAUGGGUAGGGCUUCACACGUCAUACAAUGGUCGGUACAGAGGGUUGCCAACCCGCGAGGGGGAGCUAAUCCCACAAAGCCGAUCGUAGUCCGGAUCGCAGUCUGCAACUCGACUGCGUGAAGUCGGAAUCGCUAGUAAUCGUGGAUCAGCAUGUCACGGUGAAUACGUUCCCGGGUCUU
This 441-nucleotide ribosomal RNA is filed under the name uncultured Rhodocyclaceae bacterium. RNAcentral describes it as "bacterial SSU rRNA". It matches the Rfam family "Bacterial small subunit ribosomal RNA", at positions 940 to 1382 of the family's 1533-position model. The record is from RNAcentral. Lineage: Bacteria; Pseudomonadati; Pseudomonadota; Betaproteobacteria; Rhodocyclales; Rhodocyclaceae.